CCCUUAGAUGUCCUGGGCUGCACGCGCGCUACACUGAUGUGUCCAGUAAGCACCUAACCUCUUCCGAAAGGAACGGGUAACCUUUGCAAAGCACAUCGUGAUGGGGAUAGAUUAUUGCAAUUAUUAGUCUUGAACGAGGAAUUCCUAGUAAGCACAAGUCAUCAGCUCGUGUUGAUUACGUCCCUGCCCUUUGUACACACCGCCCGUCGCUCCUACCGAUUGAAUGUUCCGGUGAGCUCUUCGGACUGCGCGGUCUGCAGUUUCUGCGUUCCGUGCGGAAAGUUGCGCAAACCUUAACAUUUAGAGGAAGGAGAAGUCGUAACA
RNAcentral lists this ribosomal RNA (324 nucleotides) under uncultured eukaryote. RNAcentral describes it as "partial 18S ribosomal RNA". It matches the Rfam family "Eukaryotic small subunit ribosomal RNA", at positions 1470 to 1796 of the family's 1831-position model. The record is from RNAcentral.